AGAAGAGAAAAACCCGCUAAGUCGAAAACCCGAAAAGGGCGGCUUAGGCAAAAAUCGGGGCCCGCUAAGUUGAAAACCCGAAAAGGGCGGCUUAGGCAAAAAUGGGUAGCUCGCUAAGUUGAAAACCCGAGAGGGCGGCUUAGGCAAAAAUCAGAGCUUGAAUAAAUGAAGUUGGAAAAUGCUUGGAAAGCUUAAUGACAUGCCCAAUUGAAAGCAACAAAGUCAAACAGUCCAAAGUCAAGCAGAAAACUAAAGAGACCAAGAAAAAUAAAUAAUAAAGUCCAGAUCCAAAGGAACAUACAUCCAAAAAUCC
This 313-nucleotide long non-coding RNA is filed under the name Jatropha curcas. Its description in RNAcentral is "long non-coding RNA (JCUR_LNC000922)". The record is from RNAcentral. Lineage: Eukaryota; Viridiplantae; Streptophyta; Magnoliopsida; Malpighiales; Euphorbiaceae.